UGAGCCAGUGAAUUGGGCAAAAUUUUAUGUUACUGCUACCAAUGUCCAACAAGGCCUUCCAAUCACAAUAAAAACAUCCAGGACCAUCACCUACACUGUGCACUGUCCAGUGGUACACAACAAAUCCAGGAGAAAAUGCAACAGUACGCAAUAAGCCCAGCUCCAUUGCUAUCACGUUAACUCGUUGAUGGGAUAGUCCUGCAGUACUUGACAUUCUUAGUAUCCUACAGUGACAUGCGUUCGCAUAAAAGGUGAGCAAGUGCUCCUUUGAUUGGACCCGGAGUGGCUGCUGCAUCCAAGCAUGCCACCAUCUUACCUUAAUAAUCCUCUUCUUCGUCGUUGUCCUUGAAUAAUCCCAGUCUCUGGAAGCAUUGCGCCAUGUUGGCCAAGAAGAAGCUUGUGGUGAUGGCGGUGAUGGAGACGCAGACGCCGGAGAAGAAGAUGAUCAGGCUCCCAGCUGGAGUGUGACUCUACCAGAGUCGGAACAGAUAGACAAGUCCAGAGGUGUUUUGUGAGCCAUCGCAUAACAGUCAGGAGCAGGAACUCUAAUGAUAAGUGAGAGACUUAGCAUAGCAUUCCACCUAAUUCCUGGCAGAAGUGACCGAUCUUCAACACUGACAGCUAUAUACGCUCUAGAUCAUGCACCUUUGAUACCAAUCAGAAGAUUACCUUCUCCAGAUGGACUGCAGCAGUUUAAGAGGCAACUUCCAACGCUCCUCUCCAAGGCAGGCAGUGACGGGCAAUAUUGGUCUUGCCAGUGAACCGCAUAAUCUGAUAAAAAGGGUCAGCAUGGUGGUGUAAUGUUUGGAGUAAUGGCAUACAAACCAGAGUUACUAAAGACCACUGUAUGUUGGCGUCCAAAGACACUUGCAAACUGCCCCUAGUACAUCUCAGACCAUGCAUGGGU
This is a long non-coding RNA of Mobula hypostoma (lesser devil ray), 907 nucleotides long. RefSeq lists it as uncharacterized. The transcript has 4 exons. Lineage: Eukaryota; Metazoa; Chordata; Chondrichthyes; Myliobatiformes; Myliobatidae. The record is from RefSeq and is a predicted model, not a curated record.